GACGUAGGGCGCGAGCGUUGUCCGGAAUUAUUGGGCGUAAAGAGCUCGUAGGCGGUCUGUUACGUCUGCUGUGAAAACCCAGGGCUUAACCCUGGGCUUGCAGUGGAUACGGGCAGACUAGAGGCAGGUAGGGGAGAAUGGAAUUCCCGGUGUAGCGGUGAAAUGCGCAGAUAUCGGGAGGAACACCGGUGGCGAAGGCGGUUCUCUGGGCCUGACCUGACGCUGAGGAGCGAAAGCGUGGGGAGCGAACAGG
RNAcentral lists this ribosomal RNA (253 nucleotides) under uncultured bacterium. RNAcentral describes it as "partial 16S ribosomal RNA". It matches the Rfam family "Bacterial small subunit ribosomal RNA", at positions 524 to 776 of the family's 1533-position model. The record is from RNAcentral.